This 469-nucleotide long non-coding RNA is filed under the name Homo sapiens (human). RNAcentral describes it as "HSALNT0216487". The record is from RNAcentral. Lineage: Eukaryota; Metazoa; Chordata; Mammalia; Primates; Hominidae.
CUCCUGCGCCGGUGACCUUGGCCGAGCAGGCACAAUGACAAUAAGACCUUCCUGGUGUGGGUCAACGAGGAGGACCACCUGCGGGUCAUCUCCAUGCAGAAGGGGGGCAACAUGAAGGAGGUGUUCACCCGCUUCUGCACCGGCCUCACCCAGGUGCCAGGGACGGGGCAGGCCCAGACCCCAGGGCCCCAGCAGGGAUGUGGGUGCCCCAGCAUCAGUCCCCCCGGGGGAUUUCCGGCACUGGGGAGUCUCAGGGCCUGUAGGGGUUUCAGGCAGGCCUUCUCCCUCAUACCCUCUUCUCCGUCUGCAGAUUGAAACUCUCUUCAAGUCUAAGGACUAUGAGUUCAUGUGGAACCCUCACCUGGGCUACAUCCUCACCUGCCCAUCCAACCUGGGCACCGGGCUGCGGGCAGGUGUGCAUAUCAAGCUGCCCAACCUGGGCAAGCAUGAGAAGUUCUCGGAGGUGCUU